AUACUUACCCGGCAGGGGAGACGCCGUGAUCAUGAAGGUGGUUUUCCCAGGGCGAGGCUCCCCCAGUGCACUCUGGGUGUGCUGAGUCCUGUGAUUUCACCAAAUGUGGGAAACUCGGCAACAUAAUUUGUGGUGGUGCGGGACUGUGUCCGCACACUCCCCUG
Echinops telfairi (small Madagascar hedgehog) is the source of this 164-nucleotide small nuclear RNA. Its record names the gene U1. It matches the Rfam family "U1 spliceosomal RNA". Rfam says of the family: U1 is a small nuclear RNA (snRNA) component of the spliceosome (involved in pre-mRNA splicing). Its 5' end forms complementary base pairs with the 5' splice junction, thus defining the 5' donor site of an intron. The record is from Ensembl. Lineage: Eukaryota; Metazoa; Chordata; Mammalia; Afrosoricida; Tenrecidae.